Molecule: long non-coding RNA, 3914 nt
Organism: Neofelis nebulosa (Clouded leopard)
Lineage: Eukaryota; Metazoa; Chordata; Mammalia; Carnivora; Felidae
Exons: 2
Source: RefSeq, a predicted model, not a curated record
CAGCUUAAUUUUUAUUGUAAAGGUAAUAUUUGUUAACUCAACAAAUAUUUAUUAAACAUCUUCUUUGUGCCAGGCACAAUUCUUAGCUCAUGUAGCUCCCAUUCUAGUGGAGAAGAUAUCUACACGAGUAGAUAAUAUCAUUUCAGGUAGAGCUAAGUGCCAUGAAGAAGCGUAAAGUAGGAUACUGGAAUGCAGGCUGAUGGAGGAGUGUACGCACUGUUUAAGAUGGAGUGGUCUGGUUUGGAGGGCCCUCUUUAGGGAGGGGACAUCUGAGGCCUGAAUCAUGUGAAGGAGCUCAGCCAAAGCAACAGCAUUCCUGAAGGAGAGAAAAGUGAGUACAAAAUUCCUGAAGCAGGCAUGAUCUUGGCCUGACUGAGGAAGUGCCAGAAAGAUAGUGUUCUGGAGUGAGCAGAAAGGAGAGACUGUAGGAGAUGAGGCUGAGGAGAGGGAGUGGCCAGAGCACUGGAGCCUUGUCUGUAUGGUGAGGAGUUUAGAUUUUAGUCUGUGUGGGAAGGCUACUGGGAUUUCAAGCAGACAAGUGCCAAGGUUUGGUUAUGUUCUAAGAAGCUUUUAAGAUGCACAUACCCAUUGUCUAAUCUAGAAAUUUAUCUUCUAGAUACUGUGCUCCAUGGAUGCAAAAUGGAUAUAUGAGGAUGUUGGCCUAGAAUAUUUUGUGAGUGGGCAUUUCCAUGUGCCCCAGGCACACCUUGAUGAGAUGAUGUCUCCCUUGCUCAAGCAGCCCCGCCCUUGGUGAGAGUUUGGGAGACCUGCUGUGGUCUGUGCCCUCCUGCCAGUGGCAGUACCUCCCCAUGGCUUCGCUGUGUGUCCUCAACUCUGUAAACGGAGUGAGCCGCUCUCAGAACUGGUCCCCUCUCUCCCUUAACACAGCCCACACUGAGUGUUAGCAUAUAUUUAAAAAAACUCUUGGCUGAACAUACAGGUAAAAUUACAUUCUUUUUAAUCCUCUUAGUAGGUUACGAACAUUUUUCAGGUCUCUGUAUAGUCUUUUUACUUAAAUAAAUCUUCAGGAGUAAGGUUACAUUAGGUUAGGUGUUACAGUUUUUAAAUGGUUUGCUUAUGCAGAGUGUGUAAAAUGGUGUUACCAGUUUGCUUUAGAAUUCAUUUCUUUUAUUACCAUAGAAAAUGAAUCAUACGUUUCAGAAAGAUUUUUAGUGACCCUGGGUGAAAAACCUAUUGCUCAAAGCUUGGGUUAUUCUAGAUUUUACCAUAGUAAUAAGUAGAAAGCAAAAUAUAUUAGAACUUUUUUUUUUCUUAGUAGUUUUAUUCUAGGAUAUGGUCAGUUCCAAGUAGUCCACAUUCAUGUUAAUAGCUGAGGCAGGUGCAAAUAUUUAGAGACUAUAAAUGCAGAAUACCCAAGGGAUUCUAGCUGCGUCGGUGGAUGACAUGGCCAUAGGUUUCUGUUGCUGAUAGCUGCUGUGCUUCCCUGGGGUGGGUCGCCCCGAGCCGCAGCGUGUUGAGAGUUGGUGGUCAGUGUGACCGGCAUGGUGAGACUCCUUGAGGGGUCAGAGCAUAGCAGUGCCAGGACGUGAGGCCGGAAGUUUCCAUACUUGGAGUGCUUGGACUCACACAGGGUGGGGUGAGCAUUUGUAAGGGCGUUUUGCCUUUUUUCUGUUCAUGUAGACUUAAGGAGGGAGAGGCCUCUAAGUGAUAGACAAACUGACUCUUAGGUGUUUGGCAACUGCAGGGGCGACUGUGUUGAAAGAAGAGAAUGUCAGUUAGAAAUGCGGGUGUGAGUGUCCCGUAAAGGUAAAUUUUGUUAGGCGUUGUCGUGUGUGUGGACAAGUCGGUAGCUUACAAAAUGAGGCACAGUUUGAAGCUGUGGAAGUAGGUCCAGGAGGUGAGCCUUUGGAACCCAGGAAACAGCUUCUCCAGAAGCCAGCAGGUGGAGCCCUCCAGGGCUGGCUGGGCAGCACAACCCCCUGGGAGGGCUGUCCCCGUUCUCCCACCCUUGUUCAGUAUGGAAAGAAGCUUAGUAUCAGGAAUAGGUAAGCAGUGGCAGUGGGACACCUGACCUGGUUUGGUAUCUUUUGAGCGAACGGAGAAUUCCAGGUGGAGGAUCCAAAGGGUUUCCAGUUGACUCUGGGGAAAGGAACUGAGCUUUGUGAGAAAGAACUGUGAUUCCCUGCAUUCCUGGAGGAAUGCCUUGUCUCUUGUCUCUUCUUCCUCCAGCGGACCCGCACUCAAAGCAUUUGAUUUUGUUAGAACGAAUCAUAUGAACUGGCAGACACUCAGCCAGUUUGACCUACGGAAAAUGGCCCUUUUCAGUCUAAUGGUGUGUCACAGGUACGGCUUGCAGGCAGGAUCCAAGCUUCACGUCUUUGACAUCUCGUUCAUCACAUUUGCUUGCUGUGACUGCUGCCAUCAAGAGAAUGGGGAGUGGGGAGGGCCACUCCCCUCUGAAUGGCCUGGGCCGUGAGAGUGGUGGUGCCAGGGAACCCCAUUUCGUGCAUCCAGCGGCACUAAGCACCAUAUGUGAGUUUGGGGUUUGUAAAAUGUUCCCCUUCCUGUGCCCCCGAGCUCCUGCCUGCUGGCUCCUGCCAUAGAGCACUUGAAAAUUACUGUUGCUGAACUUACUUUAUAAAAAUGUUUUAUUGAGGAAUUUGAUAAUAGGCUCAUGGUUAACAUUUUGAAACACUUAGUGAAGUCAGAAGCUUGAUGAUACCAGAACAAAGACAACUGUUAAUGAAAAUCUUAACAGUUCUCAGUGGGACAGGACUCUUACCAGUUCUCAUUGUGAACAAAUUAAUUCAGGUUGCGUUGCUCAUUAUCAUAAGCCAGAACCUGGUGCACAUCAAAGUUCUGAGUCAGCACUGCAAUAAUAUAAAUGUCACAUCUGACGACUCUUGAAGGUGGAUACUUGUUCUGCCUGUUGAGGGUAGGGAAACACUCCCAGGAGGAUGUACCUGAGACUGAGGCAUCAUGUAGGUUAGAGAGUGUCCUUUGCUUUUAACACAGAGGGUAAUAUGUUUGUGUCUGGGAGCCAGGUAGAGUGAAAACCUACCUGCUUACCUAACCACAUAGUAGCUUGUGCUUAACUUGUGCCCACUGAGAGGCUUUGUAGCCACAGCUGACUAGAAACCUGAGGAAGUGUCCUUCAUUACCACUGGAAUGGAGAGGAGAGACACAUUUCAGCAAACUUUACCUAACAUUUGAGGAGCUAAUUAAAAUAUCGGUGUGGUAUUUCCAUGUUAGUGUUCGCUUUGGAGUUUUUCCUGGGUUUCCAGGGAGCCAGGGGCAGGAUGAUGCUGAUGUUGUCAGGCGAUGGCUGGGACACCAGGGUCGGUGCCCUUCAGGGUAGGGAGAUUCGAGCCUAAGAUGGUAUCAUUUGGAGUCUUGCUUCUGCUGUUUAUCUCAUAAACUAAGUUUAGACCUGAUGUGUAUUUGUAAAAACACAUGUAAUAGACGAGGGGAAAUGUAAAACAGGUGUCAAAAAUGCAAAUGUGACACCACAGUGCAGUGUGAAAAUGCCGUGCCCACUACACCGCCUUUUAAUAAAAAUGGACUUUUAACUGCAUCGCUUUUCUUCGUCGUAUAGUAAAUCUUCUGUUUACAGAACUUAGCCUGAGUAUUUUGUGAAAGUCAAACAGCCAAGAAAUAUAAUUUCCUCAGCAGUCUUUGUCUUGCCCUUUUACAGAUGGCGUAAAAUCAGGUGUGUAAAAAAUAAAAAGCAGUUAGAGCUGACGUGAAAGGUAUUUCAGAUUUAUGCUUUGCAGAUGAUAUUGGUAUGAUUAAUGCAUUCAUUGCUUUUUUUUAUUGCUUUUCACAGAUAAUGUACAUGAUGCAUGGAAAAGGUUGUGGGUUUAAAUCUUUGCCAGCUUUAGACUGUGAAUAUCAACAGAUGUUAUCAUAUAACUACUAUAAUUAUUAUAAAAUAAAAAAUUUUUCAUGAAAUA